This 756-nucleotide long non-coding RNA is filed under the name Triticum aestivum (bread wheat). Its description in RNAcentral is "long non-coding RNA (TAES_LNC017777)". Lineage: Eukaryota; Viridiplantae; Streptophyta; Magnoliopsida; Poales; Poaceae. The record is from RNAcentral.
GUUAUGUUCGUAUUUCCACUGGCUGAAUUAAUUUUAUCCAACUUCUGCAAUCACGACCCCUGACAUUCACUAACAGCACUGCAUCCGUUCUUCUCUUAUUUUUUGUUGUUUUAUUACUACCAAACUACUCUUUUAACCAGUUGAUAAAGUGAACUGGAAAAUUUGCAUCCAGGCAUCAAUCAUUCUGAGAUUUCGCUGUCUACCAAAUAUUUGCAGUAAUCCGAAGACAUCAGUUUAAAUCGAGGCAUCUUGGAAAACUGCUGCUUUAUCUCCAAUUCAUUGGUGGUUGCUUUGUCGCCAAACAUACAAAGGCAAUCCUUUUGUGCUGAAAAAGCUAUCAUUCCUGUCUCAUGCAUAAACUCUUACAUAACCAUUUGUGCCUAACUUCAGCACUGCUCGUUAAUGCAGAAAAUUCGAAGUUCGCUGCCGGACACCUGGAUGACCUUGUAGCACUAGUGACCAGUGAAACAAUGGAAAAGAAGUUAUGCCGCGAGUAUGCUUGAAAAGUGAAAAGAAAAAAUUACAAUAAUUAGAACUGCUGAAACGCCUUUCUGUAUGCACUUUGUGUUGCUUCCUGGGUGGUCACCAGUGAUUCGGUAGAACGUUACCUGGCCAUUGUGCGAACGACCGGUGUGUAAUACUCAUUUCCAAACUGCCAUUCCCCUGUUGAGGAAGGCUACCGCACCAACAACUGGUGAACUGAGACCGUUUGGUUGUAUAACGUGUAUGCUGGAGGAAAAAGGAAAAGAAUUCAAU